GUCAUUCUAAUGGGACACUAAUGUAUAUACAAUGAAUUUUUCUUUAACGCAACAUGAGCAUAUGGAACUUUUAGCGCAACUAAAGAAGCAGAACUACCAAAAUGACUAAUGAUACUACUAACUUGUUUUCUAAAAAACAUAAUAAGAAAAUGCACAACUUUAUAUAUAUAGCACUUUACUCCUUAAUAAUACUUAAACUAUCAAACUCAAACCUUUAAAGAUCGUAUAGAAUACGUCUUCUUGUACACCAACUCAAUUAGAAACGUAAUCUAAUUCGUGCCCAAGUAGCUGGUUUAUUCUGGUGAUGAAUGAAAUAUGAUAACAUCAGUAUCUUCNN
This 337-nucleotide long non-coding RNA is filed under the name Carica papaya (papaya). RNAcentral's name for it is "long non-coding RNA (CPAP_LNC001114)". The record is from RNAcentral. Lineage: Eukaryota; Viridiplantae; Streptophyta; Magnoliopsida; Brassicales; Caricaceae.